This 433-nucleotide ribosomal RNA is filed under the name uncultured bacterium. RNAcentral describes it as "partial 16S ribosomal RNA". It matches the Rfam family "Bacterial small subunit ribosomal RNA", at positions 29 to 507 of the family's 1533-position model. The record is from RNAcentral.
AACGAACGCUGGCGGCAUGCCUAACACAUGCAAGUCGAACGAGACCUUCGGGUCUAGUGGCGCACGGGUGCGUAACGCGUGGGAACCUGCCCUUAGGUUCGGAAUAACUCCCCGAAAGGGGUGCUAAUACCGGAUAAUGUCUUCGGACCAAAGAUUUAUGGCCUUUGGAUGGGCCCGCGUUGGAUUAGCUAGUUGGUAGGGUAAAAGCCUACCAAGGCGACGAUCCAUAGCUGGUCUGAGAGGAUGAUCAGCCACACUGGGACUGAGACACGGCCCAGACUCCUACGGAAGGGAGGAGUGGGGAAUAUUGGACAAUGGGCGAAAGCCUGAUCCAGCAAUGCCGCGUGAGUGAUGAAGGCCUUAGGGUUGUAAAGCUCUUUUACCCGGGAUGAUAAUGACAGUACCGGGAGAAUAAGCUCCGGCUAACUCCGUG